UUGGAGGGCAAGUCUGGUGCCAGCAGCCGCGGUAAUUCCAGCUCCAAUAGCGUAUAUUAAAGUUGUUGCAGUUAAAAAGCUCGUAGUUGAAUUUCGAGACCGGUUUAUUGGUCGUGCUUUUGUACGUACUGGUAUUAUUGGUUUCUCCUUUCUGACGAACUAUAAUGCCAUUAAUUUGGUGUUUUAGGGAAUCAGGACUGUUACUUUGAAAAAAUUAGAGUGUUUAAAGCAGGCUCACGCUUGAAUACAUUAGCAUGGAAUAACGGAAUAGGACGUUUGAUUCUAUUUUGUUGGUUUCUGGGAUCGACGUAAUGAUUAAUAGGGAUAGUUGGGGGCAUUAGUAUUCAAUUGUCAGAGGUGAAAUUCUUGGAUUUAUUGAAGACUAACUACUGCGAAAGCAUUUGCCAAGGAUGUUUUCAUUAAUCAAGAACGAAAGUUAGGGGAUCGAAGACGAUCAGAUACCGUCGUAGUCUUAACCAUAAACUAUGCCGACUAGGGAUCGGAUGAUGUUAAUUUUUUAAUGACUCAUUCGGCGCCUUACGGGAAACCAAAGUGUUUGGGUUC
RNAcentral lists this ribosomal RNA (564 nucleotides) under uncultured Glomeromycotina. Its description in RNAcentral is "SSU rRNA". It matches the Rfam family "Eukaryotic small subunit ribosomal RNA", at positions 548 to 1114 of the family's 1831-position model. Lineage: Eukaryota; Fungi; Glomeromycota. The record is from RNAcentral.